This 372-nucleotide ribosomal RNA is filed under the name Triticum aestivum (bread wheat). RNAcentral's name for it is "partial small subunit ribosomal RNA". The record is from RNAcentral. Lineage: Eukaryota; Viridiplantae; Streptophyta; Magnoliopsida; Poales; Poaceae.
AUGCAGAGGUUACUCCAAGGCAUUGAACUCUCUGAGGAGCCAGAUAAGCUCUCCUGGAAGUGGACUAUCGAUGACUACACGGCGCGGUCUACCUACCACGUGCUAUUCCUUGGGGCUACCACCGCACUCUACUGGCAGCUCAUCUGGAAGACUUGGGCUCCCUCCAAUGCGAAGAUCCUUCUCUGGCUAGCCUCCCUCAAUCGAUGUUGGACCGUCAACCGUCGCGCGCGACACGACUUGCCGCACGACCCCAUCUGCAAUCUGCGCGGCUAGGACGACGAAACUCUCCACCACCUCCUCGUUGGGUGUGUCUUCUCGCGCAUUAUUUGGCAUGACAUCUUGGCCUGGUGCUGCAUACCCACAAUACUGUAG